AUUGAACGCUGGCGGCAUGCCUUACACAUGCAAGUCGAACGGCAGCACGGGAGCAAUCCUGGUGGCGAGUGGCGAACGGGUGAGUAAUAUAUCGGAACGUGCCCAGUCGUGGGGAUAACGUAGCGAAAGCUACGCUAAUACCGCAUACGAUCUAUGGAUGAAAGCGGGGGGAUCGCAAGACUUCGCGCGAUUGGAGCGGCCGAUAUCAGAUUAGGUAGUUGGUGAGGUAAAGGCUCACCAAGCCGACGAUCUGUAGCUGGUCUGAGAGGACGACCAGCCACACUGGGACUGAGACACGGCCCAGACUCCUACGGGAGGCAGCAAGUGGGGGAAUUUUGGACAAUGGGCGC
RNAcentral lists this ribosomal RNA (350 nucleotides) under uncultured bacterium. RNAcentral describes it as "bacterial SSU rRNA". It matches the Rfam family "Bacterial small subunit ribosomal RNA", at positions 30 to 378 of the family's 1533-position model. The record is from RNAcentral.